AUUACUUUGGGCUAGGGUUCCGGCUUUCCAAGGGAAGUGACUGGUCCGAGGGCCCGAGGCUUCUCCAUAACGAAGCGCCACGGAGGGAUAAAAGCCCGGGAGAU
Molecule: small RNA, 104 nt
Filed under: Nitrosomonas eutropha
Lineage: Bacteria; Pseudomonadati; Pseudomonadota; Betaproteobacteria; Nitrosomonadales; Nitrosomonadaceae
Also listed under: 1 other name
Description: Guanidine-I sequence
Rfam family: Guanidine-I riboswitch aptamer
About the family: This family represents a conserved RNA structure found upstream of the ykkC and yxkD genes in Bacillus subtilis and related genes in other bacteria. The function of this family is unclear although it has been suggested that it may function to switch on efflux pumps and detoxification systems in response to harmful environmental molecules.
Source: RNAcentral